UACGAAGGGGGCUAGCGUUGUUCGGAAUUACUGGGCGUAAAGCGCACGUAGGCGGGUUGUUAAGUCAGGGGUGAAAUCCCGGAGCCUGACUCCGGAAUGGCAUUCGAAACUGCAUCGCUCGAGGUCUGGAGAGGUGACUGGAAUUCUCGGUGUAGCAGUGAAAUGCGUAGAUACCAUAAGGAAUACCAAUAGCGAAGGCAGCUUACUGGCCUUGUACUGACGCUGAGGCACGAAAGCGUGGGGAGCAAACAGGG
This 254-nucleotide ribosomal RNA is filed under the name uncultured bacterium. Its description in RNAcentral is "partial 16S ribosomal RNA". It matches the Rfam family "Bacterial small subunit ribosomal RNA", at positions 524 to 777 of the family's 1533-position model. The record is from RNAcentral.